ACAGCCCCAGAUCCCGCCCCCAAACGUCCUCCUCCUCCUCCAAUCCGGCUUCUGCUCCGGAAAUGGGGGGGUGAGCCCCCUCCCAACCUGCCUGCUUCUCCCGGAAGUGGAGCUUCCUCUUCGGAUUGCUGCUCUGCUCCACAGCUCUAGGGGGGGCGCUAGGAUGUUGCAGGAAAGGAGAAUCGGGAGCGAGGAGAAACAGGCAAUAUCAGAGUGACUGACAAGCUGAGAUACAACCCAUCAGCAUCCGAUGACAGCGACUGCAUGAAUCUUCCCAGUCAAAGGACCCCUUUUCAGGAUAAACAGCGCCUGGGGCUGGAGGCUCUACACACUGGGUGUGCCUGUGCAGGCCAAAGACUGCCAGUAUUAGCACAGGGCUUGACUUCAGGUGCAGCAGAAUUCCCCAGCCCCCCAAGGAUUUGAGACCCAUCAGCUUUCCUCACCUGGUUUAGGCAGCCGGUUGAAGCCGUUGCUUGAACACCUGUUGCAUGCUGACAGCUUCUGGAAGCCACAGGAUUUGCUUUUUGCCCACUCUGAAAAAGGUGAUGGAGAAGACAGAAUUGCUGGGGAUAGGACACCUUUCGUUUAAUUAGGAAUAGCCAUUAAAAUGUGUUAAAUGUGGAAUA
Podarcis muralis (Common wall lizard) is the source of this 626-nucleotide non-coding RNA. The record is from RefSeq and is a predicted model, not a curated record. Lineage: Eukaryota; Metazoa; Chordata; Lepidosauria; Squamata; Lacertidae.